UACAUGCUAAGAAAGCGCAUGCCGGUAGAGUCUUUCUGUGCCUCACCAAUUUGUAAUUACUCUACCAGUAUGUUAAGCUAUAGCGACU
This 88-nucleotide non-coding RNA is filed under the name Wolbachia endosymbiont wVitA of Nasonia vitripennis phage WOVitA4. RNAcentral describes it as "Wolbachia sRNA 59". It matches the Rfam family "Wolbachia sRNA 59". Lineage: Duplodnaviria; Heunggongvirae; Uroviricota; Caudoviricetes. The record is from Rfam by way of RNAcentral.